This 607-nucleotide ribosomal RNA is filed under the name Enterocytozoon bieneusi. RNAcentral describes it as "SSU rRNA". It matches the Rfam family "Microsporidia small subunit ribosomal RNA", at positions 295 to 906 of the family's 1311-position model. Lineage: Eukaryota; Fungi; Microsporidia; Enterocytozoonidae. The record is from RNAcentral.
GGACCCCCUUUCAUCCUUACGGGGCAGACAGUCAUGAGACGUGAGUAUAAGACCUGAGUGUAAAGACCUUAGGGUGAAGCAAUUGGAGGGCAAGCUUUGGUGCCAGCAGCCGCGGUAACUCCAACUCCAAGAGUGUCUAUGGUGGAUGCUGCAGUUAAAGGGUCCGUAGUCGUGAAUGCAAUUAAAUGUCGUUGUUCAAUAGCGAUGAGUUUGCUAAUGUUUGCGGAACGGAUAGGGAGUGUAGUAUAGACUGGCGAAGAAUGAAAUCUCAAGACCCAGUUUGGACUAACGGAGGCGAAGGCGACACUCUUAGACGUAUCUUAGGAUCAAGGACGAAGGCAGGAGUAUCGAAAGUGAUUAGACACCGCUGUAGUUCCUGCAGUAAACUAUGCCGACAGCCUGUGUGUGAGAAUACGUGGGCGGGAGAAAUCUUAGUGUUCGGGCUCUGGGGAUAGUACGCUCGCAAGGGUGAAACUUAAAGCGAAAUUGACGGAAGGACACUACCAGGAGUGGAUUGUGCUGCUUAAUUUAACUCAACGCGGGAAAACUUACCAGGGUCAAGUCAUUCGUUGAUCGAAUACGUGAGAAUGGCAGGAGGGUGUGAUAU